Molecule: small nuclear RNA, 189 nt
Organism: Acipenser ruthenus (sterlet)
Lineage: Eukaryota; Metazoa; Chordata; Actinopteri; Acipenseriformes; Acipenseridae
Product: U2 spliceosomal RNA
Exons: 1
Source: RefSeq, a predicted model, not a curated record
AUCGCUUCUCGGCCUUUUGGCUAAGAUCAAGUGUAGUAUCUGUUCUUAUCAGUUUAAUAUCUGAUACUCUGGCUUCUCUUCAGUUCGGUUCCAGUUUUUUUCUUUUUCAGGCGGUUCCGGCUUUUCCAGACGUUCCUGGAGUUAGAGAGAAGGAGGACCUACCAUCCAGACGACCUUUGAGGACCCUUU